GCGACGAUCGUCCAGUCUGGUCUAGGACAUCAGCCCUCCAAGCUGAUAACGCGGGUCCAAAUCCCGCUCGUCGCA
RNAcentral lists this transfer RNA (75 nucleotides) under Nitrososphaerota archaeon. RNAcentral's name for it is "tRNA-Gly". It matches the Rfam family "tRNA". Rfam says of the family: Transfer RNA (tRNA) molecules are approximately 80 nucleotides in length. Their secondary structure includes four short double-helical elements and three loops (D, anti-codon, and T loops). Further hydrogen bonds mediate the characteristic L-shaped molecular structure. tRNAs have two regions of fundamental functional importance: the anti-codon, which is responsible for specific mRNA codon recognition, and the 3' end, to which the tRNAs corresponding amino acid is attached (by aminoacyl-tRNA synthetases). tRNAs cope with the degeneracy of the genetic code in two manners: having more than one tRNA (with a specific anti-codon) for a particular amino acid; and 'wobble' base-pairing, i.e. permitting non-standard base-pairing at the 3rd anti-codon position. The record is from RNAcentral. Lineage: Archaea; Thermoproteati; Nitrososphaerota.